GGAGAGGUCGCAUAGUGGCCUAGUGCGUACGCCUGGAAAGCGUAUGUAGCAGCAAUGCUACCGGGGGUUCGAAUCCCCCCCUCUCCGCAA
RNAcentral lists this transfer RNA (90 nucleotides) under Candidatus Roizmanbacteria bacterium CG_4_10_14_0_8_um_filter_35_28. Its description in RNAcentral is "tRNA-Ser". It matches the Rfam family "tRNA". Rfam says of the family: Transfer RNA (tRNA) molecules are approximately 80 nucleotides in length. Their secondary structure includes four short double-helical elements and three loops (D, anti-codon, and T loops). Further hydrogen bonds mediate the characteristic L-shaped molecular structure. tRNAs have two regions of fundamental functional importance: the anti-codon, which is responsible for specific mRNA codon recognition, and the 3' end, to which the tRNAs corresponding amino acid is attached (by aminoacyl-tRNA synthetases). tRNAs cope with the degeneracy of the genetic code in two manners: having more than one tRNA (with a specific anti-codon) for a particular amino acid; and 'wobble' base-pairing, i.e. permitting non-standard base-pairing at the 3rd anti-codon position. Lineage: Bacteria; Candidatus Roizmaniibacteriota. RNAcentral also lists the same sequence under 2 other names. The record is from RNAcentral.